RNAcentral lists this ribosomal RNA (502 nucleotides) under uncultured bacterium. RNAcentral's name for it is "partial 16S ribosomal RNA". It matches the Rfam family "Bacterial small subunit ribosomal RNA", at positions 28 to 523 of the family's 1533-position model. The record is from RNAcentral.
GAUGAACGUUGGCGGCGUGCCUAAUACAUGCAAGUCGAACGAAUCUUCUUCGGAAGAUGAGUGGCGAACGGGUGAGUAAUACAUAGGUAACCUGCCCCUGUGCGGGGGAUAACAGGAGGAAACUCCUGCUAAUACCGCAUAGCCAUGAGCACCGCAUGGAGCUCAUGCCAAAUAUCCUUUCGGGGAUAGCGCAGGGAUGGACCUAUGGCGCAUUAGCUGGUUGGCGGGGCAACGGCCCACCAAGGCAACGAUGCGUAGCCGGCCUGAGAGGGCGGACGGCCCAAUUGGGACUAAGACACGGCCCGGACUCCUACGGGAGGCAGCAGUAGGGAAUUUUCGGCAAUGGGGGAAACCCUGACCGAGCAACGCCGCGUGAGCGAAGAAGGCCUUCGGGUCGUAAAGCUCUGUUGUAAAGGAAGAACGGCGCAUACAGGAAAUGGUAUGCGAGUGACGGUACUUUACCAGAAAGCCACGGCUAACUACGUGCCAGCCGCCGCAGUAA